This 450-nucleotide ribosomal RNA is filed under the name uncultured bacterium. RNAcentral describes it as "partial 16S ribosomal RNA". It matches the Rfam family "Bacterial small subunit ribosomal RNA", at positions 338 to 795 of the family's 1533-position model. The record is from RNAcentral.
CCUACGGGUGGCUGCAGUAAGGAAUAUUGGUCAAUGGACGCAAGUCUGAACCAGCCAUGCCGCGUGGAGGAUGAAGGUCCUCUGGAUUGUAAACUUCUUUUAUUUGGGAAGAAACUCCCGAUUUCCAUCGGGAUUGACGGUACCAGAUGAAUAAGCACCGGCUAACUCCGUGCCAGCAGCCGCGGUAAUACGGAGGGUGCAGGCGUUAUCCGGAUUCAAGGGGGCUAAAGUGUGCAGAGGUGGCAGUGUUGAAAUCUCCGGGCUUAACCCGGAAACUGCCAUUGAUACUAUUUGUCUUGAAUACUCUGGAGGUGAGCGGAAUAUGUCAUGUAGCGGUGAAAUGCUUAGAUAUGACAUAGAACACCCAUUGCGAAGGCAGCUCACUACGGAAAUAUUGACGCUGAGGCACGAAAGCGUGGGGAUCAAACAGGAUUAGAUACCCUUGUAGUC